UCCCUAUGGAGUCCCCAUGUGUCCCUAAGGCGUCCUCAUGUGUCCCUAAGGAGUCACCAUGUGUCUCUAUGGAGUCCUCAUGUGUCCCUAUGGCGUCCUCAUGUGUCCCUACAGAGUCCCCAUGUGUCCCUAUGGCGUCCCCAUGUGUCCCUAUGGCAUCCUCAUGUGUCCCUAUGGAGUCCCCAUGUGUCCCUGUGGAGUCCCCAUGUGUCCCUGUGAAUCCCCAUGUGUCCCUAUGGCAUCCCCAUGUGUCCCUAUGGCAUUCCCAUGUGUCCCUACAGAGUCCCCAUGUGUCCCUAUGGCGUCCCCAUGUGUCCCUAUGGCAUCCUCAUGUGUCCCUAUGGCUCCCCAUGUGUCCCUAUGGCGUCCCCAUGUGUCCCUAUGGCAUCCUCAUGUGUCCCUAUGGCUCCCCAUGUGUCCCUAUGGCGUCCCCAUGUGUCCCUAUGGCAUCCUCAUGUGUCCCUAUGGCUCCCCAUGUGUCCCUAUGGCGUCCCCAUGUGUCCCUAUGGCAUCCUCAUGUGUCCCUAUGGCGUCCCCAUGUGUCCCUAUGGCAUCCUCAUGUGUCCCUAUGGAGUCCCCAUGUGUCCCUAUGUCAUCCCCAUGUCUC
Long non-coding RNA from Tympanuchus pallidicinctus (lesser prairie-chicken), 607 nucleotides. RefSeq lists it as uncharacterized. The transcript has 5 exons. NCBI's taxonomy places the organism in Eukaryota, Metazoa, Chordata, Aves, Galliformes, Phasianidae. The record is from RefSeq and is a predicted model, not a curated record.